Molecule: small RNA, 82 nt
Filed under: Flavobacterium caeni
Lineage: Bacteria; Pseudomonadati; Bacteroidota; Flavobacteriia; Flavobacteriales; Flavobacteriaceae
Description: Flavo-1 RNA
Rfam family: Flavo-1 RNA
Source: Rfam by way of RNAcentral
UAAUAGCCCCGAUUGCAGCGGAAAUCCUUUUUAUGAAGUUGUAAACAAAAUAAAAAGAUUGAAGCGGAAAGCGGGACCAAAC